GCCCCCGCCUGUGCUGUACACCGCGGCUCAGCCCUUUAUGCAAGGCUGGGAAAGCCAGCCCCGGCACAUCCCUGGUUUCCCGCAACACCCAUUCUCCACACUAUGCUGGGAAUACACUGAUGGUCCUGGAUGCAAGGAGCCACCCCAUGACCCACUCCUGGUCAAAAGGGAAAGGGGGGAGGUCAAGUCCAACAAAAGGCCAAAAUCUAUUUCAUGGUGAAACCUCCGUUGUUUCCCAGGAUGCACCCUGCUUUUCUACCCUCUUCUGUGACCCAAAAGAUCUGGACCACCUUAGGCUCCAGGCUCCCAUCAGCAUCACAGCCCAUCAGUGUCAGGGGCAACAACUGAAAGCAAUUGAGAAGAAAGCAAAAUCUUCAUCAGGGUUCCUGGGAAAACAGCUGCAGAGAUUCCAGGUUCAUCCACCGCAAAGCUUCUCCCUACUCAUCUCUCCAUCUCUCCCCUCCCUUCCCCAAUCUCCCCUAGUCCCCAUCCCCCCAAAUAGCCUUCAGUCUCUUCUUUCUCUCUCAAAAAACCUCUCCCCCUGCCUUGCCAGAUCUGCUUCCACCCAAAGAAUCCUUCCUUUAAAAUCUCCCUACUGUGGGCUGCCUCUGCAGGCCAUUCUUAAUCCCCAUGUCAAAAGGCUGGAGAGCCUGGACGUCAGGACCGAAUUUUCCAGCUCUCCACCCUGUGACUCCCAGCUUCUCUGAUCCUGUCUGUAUUUACUGCUGUCACCCCUUAACCUGUCAGGUGUAAGCCCAUUUCCUAGUGAUGCCAAAAGACCCGAACACCUUAAUUCUGGAAACUCACCAAGGGUCAAGCGUUUACUCAGGCAUUAAAGCUGUCUGUGCUAGAGCAAUUUAGAUUUGUAUUUGCAAGGAAAACAUAACUAGUCCAGCAGACAUCCAUGUAUAGCUUUUCUCCAUUAACUCAAGCAAGCAAAAAGAAGCACCAUCAGCCAUAUAGAACAAGUCCCAGGGGCCUUUCUCCCGCUGGCAAAGAAGAGAAAGAGGAGAAACACUGUAGCAGCCCACGCCCCAUCCCCAGGCUCAGGCCCAAUCUCACUCUAAGAGUUUGGGGAGCCCCAGUCUCAGUGAGGAGGGGGCACACUUUAGGAUUGAAAGUUUCCAUGUCCCGGAUCAUCCAAGUCUAGCGUUCCUGUGAGUUUUGACUUGAGGUGAGGUCAGUACAGGCCGCAGGCGGGAAAUGUGCUCAAAUGCUGACUGCCUGGAAGGUCUUUUCCAUUUCGGAGUGUCGGCUGUGGGUCAGACCGUCUCAGGGAAUAAACUGUAAGUGGAGGUGAGUCUUUCCAUAUGUCUCGCAUGAAAAUUGAAAAUGACCCUUUAAUGUAGUCCAGAAUCCCCACGGAACAUUUUUAUUGUUUCAAAAGAGAAAAGGAAAAACGUAAACUAGGUCGAACGUCACGGGGUUUCUAAUCCAAAUGAACAAAGCAGGAGAACUCACCCCCAAAAUUAAGUCAAGAACCCAUCUCAGUGGGAAACAGGUGGGGCUGUGCGUCCAAGUGGACCUUUAAUAAGCACAAGCUGAUGAGGGUGGUGGUAGUAACAGGGAUUUUGAAACUGUUGAAUUGGAGGAGAGAGGCUGCCAAACUCCUGAGAGAUCCUUUAAAAUAAUUCUCAGUAUUUACUAUGGGAUUUGACACAUACAGUGCAAAACAGUUGGGGAAGAUAAUGAACAAGCCAUUCCCUCCCAGGACUGGCUCUACACACUCCACAGUGGAGUAGCUAACAGUGUUCCCUCGUGCCCUGUCCCUCAAUACAGCCCCUCCCACAGAUAAAUGAAAUUCCACUGUUAGAGAUUCUUUCCUUUGGAUUAAACAUUAUUAGUCAAUCAUGGGUAGAGAACAGAUUUCUUCCAGAUCUCCAGAAGACUAACAGUUCCAUUUUAUUUCCAUCCUAUUGUGGUGCUUCUGCAGGAGAGUAUGGAGGUAUAUUUAGUUUCAGAAUGCCUCAGAAUUCUAAAGUCAAAAGGAACCUUGGAAGCGAAGGAGGCCAAGUGUCUUCACCUGGGAGGGAGCUGAGGGCCAGAGAGGACAGAUGUGUGAGGCGGGCUUUGGCCCCUACCCCGUGGUCAGUCUCCCCUGAACCUUGGCAGAGGCGGUUUUCCAAAGCCUACACAUGGUUGCUUCUCUAGUCCACAGUCUUUCUAGGUUGACACGACAGUCCAGCCAAACACAAGGGCUUUGCGUUCCAGACAAGAAGUCGGUCCCACAGAGCUCCGCGAUCAAGGCAAGAAGCCAGCUCCCACUUCCUCCAUCUGGGAGCUGAAAAUGCUGCUUAUGUUCCUUGCAGAAAUCAAAGUGUGAACCCCCAUUCCCUACCACAACCCGUGGGAUGUAUAUGAACAGCCCCAGUGGGCAGCCAUAGCAACCAUUAGCUUAAAACCUGUUGAAACAGAGAAGUUGAAUUGGGAAGGAAAAGCAAAUCCCGUCCAGGCAUCCUGUUCUUGGGUGAAGAGAAGCAAAAGAGUUGAAGAAAACCUGAAGGUAAACCUCAGGGCAUCAUCCCACCUGGAUAGAGAGAUGAACCGGGCGCGGUGCUGUCAAGUCUUCUCCCUGGACCGCUGCUUCUGCCCACAUAACCAGCCUUCUUGGCAGAUUCCAGGGCUCUCCCUGCCAAAAGCCCUGAAGAAAUGAAGUCAGAAAACGAUCGUCAAACUCUGUGAUUCAGAGGUCACCCGCACAUCAUACCAAAACCAGCUAAAGCCACCCCAGAUCCAUAUCCAUGUCUCCCUUCUUCAGACCCAAAGGAGCCUGCAGCUUUCUUCAUUCACUUCUUAUCCUUAACAAGCCACCUGCAUAGGAAGUGCACGUGUAACCUGCAGGAUGGACCAAAGCACAAAGGGCCAUGCUGUAGAGGUUGCCUUUCAACACUUCAGCCAGAGCUGCCACAGAAAGUAGCAGUCACGGGGUUGUUAUAAUCUCUGUAUUAGUUUCUUAUUGCUGCUGUAACAAAUCACUCCAAACGUAGUUGCUUCAAACAACCCAAAUUUAUUAUCUCAAGUCACAAUUUCAGGUAGGCUCAAUUGGUUCUUCUGCUCCAAGUCUCCUGAGGCCAAAGUCAAGGUGUUGGCCAACUUGGGUUCUCAACUGGAGACCCAGGACGAAUCCACUCAGGCUCACUCAGUUGUUGGCAGAGUUCAGUCCCUUGCACCUAUCAGGCUGAGGUCCCCACCUCCCUACUGGCCAUCAGCUGGGGGCUGCUCUGCGCUCUUUAGGGCCAUCGGCACUUCCUGGCAUACUCCCCAGUGGACUGAAUCGGGCUCAAGUGUCCCUCGUGGGAGACACCAGGGGAUGAGCCACCACAAGCCGAGCAAGGCCCAUUUCCUGCCUUCAGGCAGCUCAGAUGGAGAGGGGAGCAGGUAAAGGCCACAGCUGGAGGAGGCACCCACAAAGGCAGAUGAAAAGAACAUGCAAUUCCCCUCUUUCAACAAAUCGAUUUAAUUUAAAGCACAAGCCCCCAUUCCCUUUCUUCCUAGCUGUCCUACUGUGUUUUUGUAGGGAAAGGAAGGAGAAGGCUUAUGAGACACAGACUCUGGGAAGAGGCAUCAUCUGCCUGUGCCGAGUCCCCUGGGAGAGUUCCACACCCAUGUCAGGCCCUGAGGCUUCCUGCUGCAUCAUUCUCACUCCUUCCCAAGGGCCUCUUUUGAGUUUGUAUUGGUUUUGAGUUCCUCCAAAAUCAGGUCGAUCGUUUAUUUGGAGGUGAUACCCACAGUAGUAGGGGAUACAGCAGUGAGACAGGGAAGGGAAAGAAGCUGCCACAGAGCGUGUUAUCACAGUACCCGGUGGGCAAGUGGCAUUCAGUCUUGCCAGGAACUCUGAGAAAGUGGAGAAUGAGUACAUGUGAGGGGCGAGAGAGCUGGGGUAUUGAUCCAUCGGCUCUAUCAGUGCUGACAUCAGGGCUGCUGUGGUCUCAUUUUCCAAGCACACUGGCCUACCAUUGUGCAUGGGCAGAGCAACCAGGGGAAUCCCUCUGGCAAGGAGACGCAGGGGCUGGCAGCUGGUAGACCAGCAGGCAAGGAGAAGGUGCAGUCCAAGAGCUACAGGGGCCAGGGAACACUGACCACUUCUGCUGCAACGCCUGUGUCUGUGUAUCCCGCAUCUGUCCGUGCCAGGCCAGGAGACUGGAAGCUCACUCUAUAAGACUAAGGCCCUUUCUGCCCAGACCCGUCCUGUAGCUGGUUUGCCACUAGACUCUCCCCUCAAGCUCAGAGGCCCUCUGCUCUCAGAUCCAACAAAGCUGCCUGGUUUCCCACCUACCACGGGGCAAGGGCACCACCCCUUCUCAAGGCUCCAUCAGUGUCUACACUCCCCAUCUUCUUCACCUCUCCCUCUGCCCUCCCCACAGCUGGUCUGAGGACCUGCCGUCUCACCUCAGGGAUGGGAAGAGGUCCUCUUCCACCAACACGCGGUGACCUGAAGCUAUCGAUUUUUUGCCAGGGACCUCCCCAUUCCCCACAGGGCUCGGGAAGUCACCCUGUUCACUCAUCACCCUGGUCAACAGCCGUCCUUCUCUUGCAAGGGUAAGCCUGGGAAGAGGGUACUACAACGAAAACCCUUUAAAGGAUUAUCUUAUCUUACAGACACACACUCCAGCAGCCAGAAUCCAAAGCAAAUAAAACAUGUGCCAUCCUGAAGUCCUUUCACAGGAGAGAGGAAUCCCACUGAGGCAAGCAAGGAAAGCAGUGUAAAAGAGGUGGGAACAUGUGCUGUGGGCCUGGAGAGACGAGUGGGCGUCCAGCCAGUGGAGGGGAGGUAUAAAUCAAGGCAGCUGCCUGGGAAGCCCAAACAGGGCAGGAGAGGAGGAGAUGGUCUGUGCACCCGAGAGUGUCAAGCCAAGGUGGGCCUUCCCUGAAUGACAGCAGGGCGGCAGCCAUGGAAUAUUUGCGAGAAAAGCAGUGACCUGAUGAGAUGUAGUGAAGUCAGUAGGAAAACAGCAUAGUGAAUGUGAAAUGGCCUUAGAUUUAAGAUUUGACUCUGGCUUCAAGAAUCUGUGUGUGGAAAGAGAGAAGGUGCAGGGAAGGCAGGAGAGAGGAGAGGGGAAGAAGGCAGAGAGAGAUGGAGAGAGGAGAAAGAAAGCCAGGGAGAGGUGUCCUGAAGACAGAAAAGAGAAGAGAAAGAAAUGUGAGUGAUCAACCAAGCCAGGGAGGGUUUUGAAGUCGGACCAUUCAUCAAGUUUGGGCCUUUCGGUGGGAAAGGGGAGGUGAGGCUUGCCCAGCUAACCAAGGCCCUGUCUGCAGGUGUGAAACCCUCCCUGAGCUCCCCUCUGGCCAGGACGCCAGGUGAGCCCUGGGGAGCCCAGGCCACUUGGGUGAGUGGCUCUUAUGGAAAGAAGGCAAGAGAUUGUAAAGAGCAGGACCAUAUCUGCUGUUCGAAAUGCAUUUCAUUGCCCAGGUGGGACUGACAGCCCUGGGGAUGCCCUGGAGCAGAGAAAUUGUCAGAGGGGAAGGUGCUAGAAGGUGAUAAUUGCUGGGCACAUGGAAUCUGAAUCCACCCCAGCGCCAGCUUCUGGGCUUCAACCAACACAGUCAGCUUCGGAAAGAAUUAGGUCUGAGUUCGCUGGUUGUUCACACUCAGAAACGGAAGCGGAAAAACUUUCAUACAUCUGGUUCUCCCGGCACAAAACCCCCACCCUGUGCGCCGGGAGGCCGUUUAGUAAUGUUAUGGCUCCAUCUACAGCCUGCGGAAGGAUGCUCGCCGCCAGGCUUCCACAAACAGCCGGCCGGCACUGCAAUUAAUGCUAAUUAAAGCCCUUGCCCCCGUCUGCGCCUUUAUCCAACGCAGACUUGGAACUUCGCUGGAAGUUGUUUCAGGCUGAGUCUACAACAGCAGCUGUUCAGAUUAUUCCAGAACCCUUUCAGCCAAAAUUGGUUGGGAGUUUCUAUUUUAAACCCCCGAUUGUUAUGAAUUGCGUUAAAUGUCUUUUUUUCCCCACUCCCUCCACCAGGUUUUAACAAUGGAACAAAGAUGAAAACCCUCAAAAUAGCAAGAUGGCCUUUUCUUUCAUUCAUUCAAGGGAACACUCAGCACCUUCUUUGAGUCAGGUUCCAUGGUAAAGCACAGAGGUCAAAAAGAGGAAAGGAGAAAGUCCCAGGUCGCCAGUGGUUGUAGAGCUUGGAACAACCUCCAUAUACAGAGAACAUAAAGUCCUUUGACUCAGGACAAAAUGGAAGCUGAAAGUUCCUUAAAGAAAACAUGGAAAACAAGAAAAAAAAAGGAAUACGAAAUCGAAAGCAUUCAUCAUUCUGUCAGCUGAAGACGACCAGUGUUAACUUUAACGUGGCCCUGCACUGCUGCUGCUGCUGCUGCUAAGUCACUUCAGUCGUGUCUGACUCUGUGCAGCCCCAUAGAUGGCAGCCCACCAGGCUCCCCCGUCCCUGGGAUUCUCCAGGCAAGAACAUUGGAGUGGCUUGCCAUUUCCUUCUCCAAUGCAUGAAAGUGAAAAGUGGAAGUGAAGUCGCUCAGUCGUGUCCGACCCUCAGCGCCCCCAUGGACUGCAGCCCACCAGGCUCCUUGUCCACAGGGGGCCCUGCACUACUUUUGUCUUUAUGUAGCUUGUGCUCUGGCUUCACUAACCCAAAGCCCCAUGUCCCAGCGUGCUCUUCUGUGUGACACGUAUUUAUUUUGACUGCCCUGGGUCUUUGUGUGCCUGGGCUUUCCCUAGUCGCUGUGAGUAGGGUCUGCUCUCUAGCUGCGGUGCUUGGGCUUCUCCCUGCAGCGGCUUCAGCUGUUGCAGAGCAUGGGUUCGGUACUUGUGGCACACGGGCUUAGUUGCCUGGAGCAUGUGGGAUCUUCCCAGACCAGGGAUCGAACCCCUGUCCCGUGCAUUGGCAGGCGGAUCCUUAACCACUGGACGAACGGGGAAGUCCUCUUCUACAUGAUUUUGAAUGGCUUCAGGGUAUUCUUUCAUAGGAAUGAGCCACAAAAAUUCACUCGGUACAAGAUUCCUAGGUUUUCAGAACCGUAAGCUUUAUACACAUAUUCCUUAUGAUGAACCCAUAGCUGUAGAACUUCUGGAUCAAAGAGGGCCUAUGAGACCCAUCCAGCAUCCAUCUCCCAGAAUUUCACAUCACGUCUGAACCAAAAUCCUACUUUAGGGGCCCUGAGUGUUCAUCAUUGCAGAAAGAACUGGCUGCGACGCCGAGUGGUGCUCCUCAGAGUUAAGGGGUGCUUGGCCGAGCAUCACAACCAGAGGGAGCAGAGUGGCUCAGGACUGUUUUUGAUCAGUUCCUUACCUCCUGAGUGAUUUAGACUCGGAUGUCUCUGGAAGACAUGCCACAGGCCAUGUUUCAGGUCUGGUGCAUAUGUAGUCAAUAGAACAUCACCACAGGCUCAGAUUAGGAAGAAAGAAUAAUUUACUCAUCUUCAUUGCCCAAAUGCCACCACUUGCCAUGAUCAUUAUCAUCCCAACUUUGCUUUUCCUUCUUCCAUAUCCUGUCCUGUUUGUUCCCAUGGAUGCUUUGCCUUCUCCUGCACAUCUCAUUCAGUUGAGUUGGGUUCCUCUGGAUUCCUCAGAACAGAGUAAGAGGCAACUACAUUCAUCAGGUCUUUAGAAAAAUCCUGGCACCCAUCGGGAUCACAUGAGGUGUAAUCUGCAGGGUCAGUAGCUUCGGGAGGACUUGUAGACCAUCUUCUUUACAAGUGAAACAUAUUCCUUAUUAUCCCUUGAGUCGUUGGGUUCAUAGAGGGCGGAGCCAAAUCAAGCAAUGGUGAAAAGAUCUGUCGAGAUAAAGGUGCACAGCGGCAGUCAUUUAGGAGUUAAUUUUCUAAUGAGAAGGGGCAGACAUAACCUGCUUCAGGUGAAAAGGAGAAAUUAAAUUGUGUUUUUUUGAUCUUAGAGGCUGCCUAAUUGACACUCUCAUCAGUCACCAAUAAAAGGGAAGGCGUGGCAGAAGACUCGAGGAUGUCAGAAAGAAGCACAACCUGAGUAGAGGUGAGGCAGAGACCAGGGUUGCCCAAGGUCAUGGCAAGAGACGAGGUGGAGGGAGCCCUCCCUUUCUGACUGCUGGCUCAGUGGUCAGUCCACGCUGACCAAAAGAGGCUGCUUGUACUAUGCAAGUAAAAUAUGAACGCCCAGGUUGUUGGGGAGCAAGAAGACACUCCGAAUACGAGGUGGAAAGGGGGAGCCGGGAGCAGGAGAAACCGGACUUCCCUUUUAUGUGUUGCUUCAUGCCUCUGCUGGUGAACAGCAGGAGGAGAGAGAAAUGGCUGACUCCAAACCCACAGUUCCUGCCCUGGAGUGAAAUAAAAUACUCCGAGGCUGGUGUUUCAAUUGGUGCAAGAUUCUGAAGAGAGCCGAACACUCCCUCUUCCUUUUUGGGACAUGAAUUCCCCAGCUGAAAAAAUGCAUCACUUGGCCUUACCUGCCCUACUCCAUCACCACCUCCUUCUCAGGGAUGUCGUGACAAAGAGGUGACGGUAUCCCAUGGCUUGGAUGCUGCCUCCGCCAGAUGACACCUGACACGGGGGCAAGGUUCUUCUCAACACAGAUAGACACGUACUCACCCCGCAGCUGGAAAUUUUCCCAACAGCGCCCAUUUGGAAAUUCCAUUGUCAGUUAUAAAACAGACCUCCCCCGAGGUUGAGAGGAGGAGGGAAAGGCAGAGAUGAGUCUGAAAAUCCAAAGGACUGUAUGGUCUAAGAAUGAAAUGUUUUCUAAAUCAAAUUAAGCUACACGGUGAAAAUUGAGGAGAAAGUCCUUAAGGUGACUUUUAAAUGAAAAUGAAAUGUCUGCUAGUAAGCUACAGAGGUGUAUUGGUACCGAGUGGCAGCCUUGUAUCUCAUUAAUUUCAAACAUAGAUUUUUAUGUGAGGCUAUUUGAUUAUAAUUUGAUUAUCUGACCCUGUAAUUAAAGUUUAUUGCCAAUUUGGAAGCUUACAUGUAAAAUGAACUGGUUUUCUUCAAAGCAAUAUACAAUCCUUCGGACUCAUUGACUUCUGGUUUUGCAUUUAAAUGGAAAAGUCAGUUAUAACGUGACAAACAGGUUGGGGUUUUGAUCAUUAAUCCUGCUAAAGCAAUAUUCAUAAAUUCAAUUCUGAAUCAGUUGGAAUACUUUUCUUUUAUUAGUUUCUGUGUUAUUAAAUGAGAUUGUUUCUGACUAAUAUAUUUCUGGACUCAAACUGUAGCUCCAAGCUGUUAUUCAAAUCAAAUAACAUGCCCCUUACUUGUGCCUCGCACUAAUAAAUGCCAACUUGUGAUACAUUUGCAAGAGACUGUCAGCAAUAUUAAAGGAGGCAAUAACGCCAUGGAGGUCUCCAAGUGAGCUGAUUUUUCUAAGGGCUGAUAUCCGUCAUUUUUCUUUAAAAAAAAAAAAAAAAAAAAAACCCAGAUACUCAGAUCUUUUAGUCUUAAAGCCAAAAGCCUGAUUUGAGUCAUAGAAAUAUUGUAUAAUUCUCUAACACCUGAAUAGCCAAGACAUUGGAAUUAGAAAUUUCAUAACUUUGAGGUCCUACAUAAGAGGUAGGAAGCUGAUUUCAGACAGAGCAGAAUCAAAGUUACAUUUUGGGGAAAAAGUGCCACUUAGAAACAGAUGGGUUUUUUUUUUUUUUUUUAAUAAUACUUAGGUGAGGAGAGGCUACACUGCCUCUUUUUUAAAUUGAGAUAUUGCUAUUUUUAUUUUUUUGGCAGAGCUACAAAACAUAUGAAAUCUUCAUUCCCCCACCAGGGGUUGAUCCCAUGCCCCCUGCAGUGGACGUGCAGAGUCCCAACCACUGGACCUCCAGGGAAGUCCCUACAUUGCUUUAGAAAUUAGAAAAACUAUUCACAAAUCUUCACUGUGUUCUUGGAGCAAAAAGAGGUCUUGGAGGCUGCUUUUUCUGGCCCCAUAUUACAGAUGAGGAAACGGAGGCCCAAAGAGAAGCCACCUCAGUUACACAGCGAGUUGCUGGCAAAUUCUAAAUGCAAACACUCCCUGUAACUUUUCUCAACAUUUUCCCCACCAUCCGGCCAUCGAAAGGCUCAUAAAUAUUUGUGGAAACUUCACAGGGGCUGGAAUCGGCGGCCCAGCCACCAGCUGGCUGUUUGACCUCCAACCCAUCACCAGGAGUCUCAGCCUUCAGAUAUAGCUCCUUUCACCCUGUUUCUGAAAAGAGAUGAGACCAGAUAGAUAAACUCCAAAGGUCAGGGGACUUACAAUAGCUCACCUCUUACAGUUCAAAUGCUUUGAGAUGUGCAUACAAUGAACAGUGCAUAUUUAAAGCAUACUGUAAUAGCUUUCCUAAAUAAUCAUAAGAGCAUUGAACUUCACAUUGUUUGGGGUGAUUUUCCCUCAUUCAUCUUUUUGAACCUCCAGAGUGAGCAGGCUCUUCUCUUCCUCUCUCAUGAGGUCCCACACAUUGGCUUUGUGACUGUAGUUUGCACGUUUUCCAGCCAGUGUUCCCCUGGUGGAUUCAGGGUGGGUGUUGCUAGGUUUCCACCUUAUCACACAGUCAUGGGG
This is a long non-coding RNA of Bos taurus (domestic cattle), 10451 nucleotides long. NCBI's taxonomy places the organism in Eukaryota, Metazoa, Chordata, Mammalia, Artiodactyla, Bovidae. The record is from Ensembl.